CAGUUCUGGAGGAUGGAAGAUUCCCGAGACGGUCGUACCACAGUAUCGCUGUUCCGGGGUGUACCCAGGCUAGUUAAACGGUCCCCAUCCCAACGUGGGAGAGGGGGAGGUGACCAGGAUCGUCUGCUUCACUGUGGGUGAAAACACCUGUCACUGGAGCCUGGAGAUCGGGUUGAAAAACUGCUCCGGUUACUUUGUAUAUCGACUGAAGCCGACCUGGAAUACUGCUGUGUACUGUACAGAUUUCCAUUCUGACACAACUUGGGAAUCCCUGGGACCACCAACCGGAGAACCUGGUCUGGGUUUGAACACAACCACAGUAGGGUCUUCAAGCUCACGUACCAAUCCCCACUCAGACACAACUCCAGAACCCCACGGAUCAGUGACAGGUGAACCUGGUCCGGGUCUGACCACCAUACCAGCUGUGUCUGUGAGCUCAGACCUGGAGGUUUCCACAAUGGAUCAGCCCGAUGGAUCAUCUACAGGACAACCCACCCCAUCACCAUCCUCUGUCUCAGUGGGAGAGAGGUCCUCAGGUAGUUCCACAGGGAAACAGACCGAUGGGUCAGUGUCUGGAGAACACACCCAGAAAUCAUCUUCUGUUCCAGCAGGAGACACGAGCCCAG
Long non-coding RNA from Hypanus sabinus (Atlantic stingray), 626 nucleotides. RefSeq lists it as uncharacterized. The transcript has 5 exons. The record is from RefSeq and is a predicted model, not a curated record. Lineage: Eukaryota; Metazoa; Chordata; Chondrichthyes; Myliobatiformes; Dasyatidae.